CGCUCGUUCACAACCGAUCUUCCUUCGCAAAUAUUACCGUUGAUUUCGAUGGAAUUGUUUCCAGUGCUUCGAAAUCCUCCUACGAGAAGAAUCGUAGUCCUGCGCUAUAGCAGGCGAGUCGAGCGGCAUCAGGGAUGUCACAGGCUGCAUUUUAGGUCUCCAAAGCUUCGAAAUUCCUUCCCUUCUCCUCUCUCUUGGUUCCUCUCUCUACAGUGCAAGGGCGAGCAGGCGGGUCGAAUAACAUAGAGGGAAGUCGCAGGAUGUGGUUUAGGAUUCCGGGGUGAAAUCUUUGGGGGCUUUCAGAGGCACCGAAAUUGUAUCGGAUGUGUCGAGGUUUUAGCAUGAUAUUUUGGAGGAAGUGAAAAUUAAGGUGUCAGGAAUUGUUGUGGAGAAAAUAGGUGAUUUCAGAAAAGCUAUUUUAGAUAUGUUUUGGACAAAUAAGUUAUUUUCAGUUAAUUCAUUUCAUGAGCCCAAAUUUCAUGAAUUUCUUCGAUGCCUAUGUUUCCCGGGUUGUGUAUACAAAGGUGGUGGGCUUGAGAAGAUCAUGUAGGAACUUAUCGUAGGGAUGCUCCGUCAAGUCAGUUGCCUUUCAAUUAGGGGAACGAGCACCGAGGCGAGUCA
Molecule: long non-coding RNA, 621 nt
Organism: Phalaenopsis equestris
Lineage: Eukaryota; Viridiplantae; Streptophyta; Magnoliopsida; Asparagales; Orchidaceae
Exons: 3
Source: RefSeq, a predicted model, not a curated record